Molecule: long non-coding RNA, 302 nt
Filed under: Gallus gallus (chicken)
Lineage: Eukaryota; Metazoa; Chordata; Aves; Galliformes; Phasianidae
Source: RNAcentral
GGGAUACAGAUCUCCAGUCUCUGGAGAAGGCUAGCAACCUGGUGGGCAUACAGCUCUGGAUUGCCCUGACAAAGGAGGGAUUUCAUGCUGGAUGUCCCAUUGGCUGGGUAAGUAGCAAGAGCUAUAAGUGCCUAAAUCCCUUCCCAGUCCUUUGGAGUCUGCCCUGUGUCACUCUUAGAGAUAAGUAGCAAGACAGCCAUCCUGUGAAUGCCAAGUCUCUGAGGCAAUAACCAUACGCCUCCAUGCACAGAUACUCCUCUCCCCACUGCAGCAUGUCAAUAGUCUAUUGCUAAGGAAUCCUG